UAUUCUUUUCUUACUUUCCGCUCAUGCGAGAAUAUACAUUUAAGGGGCCGUUUGGUUGCAUGUAGUUAACUCCAACUGCAUGUAUUUACAUGCAGUUGUAACUGCAUAUAAAUAUAAAUUUCGUGUUUGAUUUGAUAUAUUUAACUCCAACUGCUGCAGUAGGAACUGCAGGAGGAGGCCCAAUUGCAGCAGUUCGAACUACGCCCAAAUUGGCUGCAGUUCCAACUACAGCAGUUGGAAAGAGUAAUUUUAAAUAAAAGGUAUGCUUACCUCCUCAAUAUUUUUUAAACAAAAAUUAAUUUCCUUCGUUACAUCGGAGGUAAUCUCACCAUCAUAUAUAUAAAAUAAUAAAAUUUUAAAAAUUAUUUCUCAACUACAUGCAAUCAAACAAAUUAUUUAUACUUGCAACGCUUUCUACUACAUCCAACCAAACAUGAUUCAUGUAGUUGUAACUGCUGUAUUUUCAACUGCAUACAUCUCUAACUACACUACAUUUAUAAUUACAUCUAACCAAAUGGCCCUAAAUCUCACCGGUCUGCAAU
This 542-nucleotide long non-coding RNA is filed under the name Ananas comosus (pineapple). RNAcentral's name for it is "long non-coding RNA (ACOM_LNC037593)". The record is from RNAcentral. Lineage: Eukaryota; Viridiplantae; Streptophyta; Magnoliopsida; Poales; Bromeliaceae.